GAUGAACGCUGGCGGCGUGCUUAACACAUGCAAGUCGAACGAAGCGACUGGGAUUGAGACUUCGGUUGAUCGAACAGUUGACUUAGUGGCGGACGGGUGAGUAACGCGUGGGUAACCUGCCUUACACAGGGGGAUAACAGUUAGAAAUGACUGCUAAUACCGCAUAACCCGCUAGGGCCGCAUGGCCCGGACGGAAAAGAUUUAUCGGUGUAAGAUGGACCCGCGUCUGAUUAGCUGGUUGGUGAGGUAACGGCCCACCAAGGCGACGAUCAGUAGCCGGCCUGAGAGGGUGAACGGCCACAUUGGGACUGAGACACGGCCCAA
RNAcentral lists this ribosomal RNA (324 nucleotides) under uncultured bacterium. RNAcentral's name for it is "bacterial SSU rRNA". It matches the Rfam family "Bacterial small subunit ribosomal RNA", at positions 28 to 334 of the family's 1533-position model. The record is from RNAcentral.